RNAcentral lists this long non-coding RNA (3257 nucleotides) under Sus scrofa (pig). Its description in RNAcentral is "lncRNA (ENSSSCG00040061597.1)". Lineage: Eukaryota; Metazoa; Chordata; Mammalia; Artiodactyla; Suidae. The record is from RNAcentral.
AAAGCAAGACUGCCUGUAAGCCCUGCCCACCUCGUUCUUAUUUUAGGUUUCAGUCUCCUAAACUCCAUCAAAUUCGCGCUGCGCACUCGGCGAGCUCGGCAGCGGCUCCCAAGAAAAAAAAGCCAGAUCUUCCAAACAGAAUCUUCUUCCGACUGCCAUGCUGGAAAAGGCAUCCUUAGAUUUCGUCCCAACUGUGUUAAAUACUGCCGCCGGCGGAGAGCGUUUCCGGUUGUAGAGCUGGGUGCGACACUGCACACGUCCCUGGCACAGAGCACUGUAAAUGCGAGUGAGGAAGGGCCUCUUGGCCUCGUAGGACGCGGCUGUUUCUAUUUACUUGUGUGAGAGUAAGAUUAAAGAAGCUGAGAUAGCUGUGGGUGAUUUGCUUAGUGAAGAACUGGGGCCUCUGCACCCUGAUCCAAGAAAACCCUGAAAACCCACUGUUUCCAUUAUCUUCCUGUUUUUUCAAACGGUGUUAUUAUCUCGGCAAUUGCUUCCCCUCUCCGCGUCGUGAGCGAGACACGACCAGGAAAUGAUGCAAUUACCAAAGAAGUCAAGAAACCUUCUAGCCCGCCAUCAGUUCAGAAACUCGCAUGAAAUAGGAGCAGACGGCAAGAGAAUGUAACUUUGAAAGUGCCAACCGUUACAGUUGGAUAAAUGUAACCCAAGAGAUCCCGCUCCGCUGCAAGAUGAAAGCAGGCUUAAGUAAAAUAGACAUAAAUGUGUAAUGAACUUGCUCGCAAUAUCCGGCGCCACUGUGAAUUACAGCCUUUGUCCAGCACCAUAGAAUAUAGGUGAGGCUGAACUGGAUUAUUUUUUCUGGUUUUCAGCAAUUGGGAAGUGAUAUUUAGCUUAUUGAUUUAAAUUUAUCUGAAAUUAUUUAAUAAUAUGCAAGCAGGAAGAUUAGAAUGACUUAUUAAGACUAAUAAGUAAAGAUGGAACCAUCACCAGAGAAAUUUCUAAACUUACUGUAUUUUAGAUGGGACACACACCUCUUUCCUAUAUCAAGGAAUUUUUAGGAACUUGAGUGCAGUAGGUGGAGCUCUUACCUCUUAACUGGGGAUUACCAGCACUUGCUUAGCAUAAGAAUACCUAGUUUUGAAUUAAAAAAAAUAAAGCAGAUAUUACUUUCAGAAAAAAUUUAAGUUUUAAUAGGUAGAGUCACAAUCUUGUACAAUAGGUAUAGCAAGGUACAGGGAGAACCAUCAUCCUUCUUUUAUGCCCUAAUCAGUCCUUAUUUCUUCUUUCCAGAGUUAACCAAUGUUAAGUUUUUUCUGUUAAAAUGCUAUCUUUCAUUUUAUUUAUUUUAUUUCUUAUUUAUUUAAUAGCUAUUUCUUUUUUCCCCAAAUUUUUGACUUGAAACAUACCAAACCUACAGAAACCUGCAAGUAUAAAACAAUGAACACAUUACCUAUAUCCUUCAUCUAGACCUGUGCUGUCUAAUUAACACCAGCAUCUUUCAUGUGACUUUGUCCACUGCAUUGUGGUGAGUAAGAAUUGAGGUGUUCUGAAACUGUUAAAUACAUGCUGGAUUUUUAAGCAUUAGUAUGAAGAAAAAAGUAUGUAAAAUGUUAAUAAUGUUUACAUUGAUUACAUUCUAAAUGCUAAAGACUGAGUUAAAAUAUUAACAUCAUUUUCCUUUUUUUAAUGUAGCUACUAGAUUAUUUUAAGUUGUAUAUACUGUUUGCCUUAUAUUUCUAUUUUAUAGUGCUAAUCUAGAUUCAGUAGUUAACAUUUUGCCAUAAUUUGCUUUCUUUUGAUCUUUUAUCUGAAACCAUUUGAGGUUAGUUGCAGACAUCAUGAAAUUUUACUUCCAACUACUAUAUCAUUUAUUUCCAAAGAACAAGCAAUACAGUUAUCACUCAGGAAAUUAAAUUUAAUUCAACAUUAUUUAUUGUACAGUUCCUAGUCAAAUUUUCCCAUUGUCCUAACACUUUUUAUAUUUUUUCCUUUUUAUCCAGGAUCCACUCAAGGAUUAAACAGCGCAUUUAGUUGUCAUGUUUCUGUAGUCUUUUAUUAUUUAUUUAUUUUUUUGUUUUUUGCCAUUUCUUGGGCCGCUCCCACAGCAUAUGGAGGUUCCCAGGCUAGGGGUCUAAUGGGAGCUAUAGCAGCCAGCCUACGCCAGAGCCACAGCAACGCGGGAUCGGAGCUGCGUCUGCAACCUACACCCCAGCUCAGGGCAACGCCAGAUCCUUAACCUCGAGGUUCCUAGGUUCCUAGUCCUAUUUGUUAACCACUGAGCCACGACGGGAACUCCUGUAGUCUCCUUUUGGUCUGAAACAAUUCUCCAAUCCUCUUUUUUUUGUUUGUUUUUGUUUUUGUUUUGUUUUGUUUUUACAGCAUUGACCUUUUUGAAUAGUGGAGGACAGUUGCUUCAGAAACUCCCUCCAUUUAAAUAAAUAUUUCUUUUGUUAGAAAAACUGUCUUAAGUGAUGUGUCCUUCUCAGGGCAUUACAUCAGAAUUCAAAUACUGUUGAUGUAUUGUGUUAUCUCUAAUGGUGAAUUGGGUAGGCAGAAUAAUGUCCCGCAGGAGAUGUUUCUGUCCUAAUCUCCAGAAUAAUGAAUGCUUCCUGUGGCAGUAGGAGUUUUGCAAAUGUGAUUAAUUAAGGGUUUUGAGAGAGCAAAAAUUAUCCUAUGUUAUGGGAGGGGGGGUACAUCCAAAAUCAUCACAGGGAUCCUUCCAAGACAAGGAGGGAGGUUGGAGAGUUGGAGUCCCAGUGAUAUAAUGCCAGGAGGCUUUGAAGACAGAGGAAGGGGACCAUGAGCUAAGGAAUGCAGGGGGCCUCUAGAAGCAGAGAAAGGCAAGGAAAUUGGGGUUCUUCCCUAGAGCCUCCAGAAAGAAAACAGCCCUGCCAACACCUAGGGUUUAGCCUAGUGAGACCUCCAUCAAAAUUCUGGACUACAGGACUGUUAGAUAUAAAUUUGUGCUGUUGUAAGCCAUUGAGUUUGUGGUAAAUUUUUGCAGUACCAGUAGGAAACAAAUACAGUAAGUCUGAUAAUUUGGUGAAGGUGUCUGCCAUAUUUCUCCUUUUUUGUUGUUGUUGUUUUGUUUGGUUUGGUUUGGUUUGGUUUUGGUUUUGGUUUUUUUCUUUUUUGGCCAUACCCCCGGCUCAUGGAAGAUGUCUAGCCAGCGAUCAAAUCUGAGUCACCUAUAUCACAGCUGCAACCUUUACCACAACGCUGGAUCCUUAACCCACCGCACUGGCUGGGGAGCCAACUGGCACUGCCGCAGAGAUAACACGGGGAUCCUUAACCCGCUG